AAACUGAAGAUGGCGACCGGCGCACGGGUGAGUAACACGUAUCCAACCUGCCGAUAACUCGGGGAUAGCCUUUCGAAAGAAAGAUUAACACCCGAUGGCAUAAUAGAACCGCAUGGUUUGAUUAUUAAAGAAUUUCGGUUAUCGAUGGGGAUGCGUUCCAUUAGGCAGUUGGUGGGGUAACGGCCCACCAAACCUUCGAUGGAUAGGGGUUCUGAGAGGAAGGUCCCCCACAUUGGAACUGAGACACGGUCCAAACUCCUACGGGAGGCAGCAUG
RNAcentral lists this ribosomal RNA (275 nucleotides) under uncultured bacterium. RNAcentral describes it as "partial 16S ribosomal RNA". It matches the Rfam family "Bacterial small subunit ribosomal RNA", at positions 79 to 353 of the family's 1533-position model. The record is from RNAcentral.